AUACGAAGGUCCCAAGCGUUAUUCGGAAUCACUGGGCGUAAAGAGUAUGUAGGCGGUUUGGUAAGUCAGGUGUGAAAUCCCGAAGCUCAACUUCGGAACUGCAUCCGAUACUGCUAGACUUGAGUAAUGGAGAGGCAGGUGGAAUUCUCGGUGUAGCAGUGAAAUGCGUGGAUAUCGAGAGGAAGACCAAUGGCGAAGGCAGCCUGCUGGACAUUUACUGACGCUGAGAUACGAAGGCUAGGGUAGCGAAAGGGAUUAGAAACCCGAGUAGUCC
RNAcentral lists this ribosomal RNA (274 nucleotides) under uncultured bacterium. RNAcentral describes it as "partial 16S ribosomal RNA". It matches the Rfam family "Bacterial small subunit ribosomal RNA", at positions 523 to 796 of the family's 1533-position model. The record is from RNAcentral.